CCCUUAGAUGUUCUGGGCUGCACGCGUGCUACACUGAUUAUUUCAACAAGUGUUUUAACUGGAGAGUUCGCGUAAUCCUGAAAUGUUAUCGUGAUGGGAGUAGAGUAUUGUAUUUGUUAAUCUUUAACGAGGAAUUCCUAGCAAGUGUAGGUUUAUAAGUUGUUCUGAUUACGUCCCUGCCCUUUGUACACACCGCCCGUCGCUCCUACCGAUUGAUUGAUCCGGUGAAUUACAUAGAAUUUUGCGUUUUACAUGACGGAAGACGAAGUGUUUUAAACCUUAUCAUUUAGGGGAAGGAGAAGUCGUAACA
RNAcentral lists this ribosomal RNA (310 nucleotides) under uncultured eukaryote. RNAcentral describes it as "partial 18S ribosomal RNA". It matches the Rfam family "Eukaryotic small subunit ribosomal RNA", at positions 1470 to 1796 of the family's 1831-position model. The record is from RNAcentral.